This 93-nucleotide ribosomal RNA is filed under the name uncultured bacterium. RNAcentral describes it as "partial 16S ribosomal RNA". It matches the Rfam family "Bacterial small subunit ribosomal RNA", at positions 262 to 354 of the family's 1533-position model. The record is from RNAcentral.
GANCCACCAAGGCGACGAUCAGUAGCCGGCCUGAGAGGGUGAACGGCCACAUUGGGACUGAGACACGGCCCAAACUCCUACGGGAGGCAGCAG